Molecule: long non-coding RNA, 910 nt
Organism: Erigeron canadensis
Lineage: Eukaryota; Viridiplantae; Streptophyta; Magnoliopsida; Asterales; Asteraceae
Exons: 3
Source: RefSeq, a predicted model, not a curated record
AAUGGUCCAAUGUUUUGAAAGUCACCUACAAUGUAUUUUAUUUAAGGCAUAAAACCUCUCAUCUUUUCAUUAAAUUUAGAUUGCUUAUACAAUCGUGUAGUGUUCGCAAUCAUUUAAACACAUUUCUUAUGAAUCUACUUUUUAUUUGGACAGAAAGUGUUACGGGUUAACAUAAUCUGAACUGUUUUACACUUUUACCUUAAGCCUAUUUUCCUUCGAAUCCAUAGUGCCACCUCUAGCUUCAAGGAUUAAGUCUUGAUACUUUUGUAAGCAGGACAUUUUGAGUGGUGAAUAAACAGGAACGGUGAACCUGACCGACCAUUGAUAGUACAUUGGUUUCAUUGAACAGGAAUGGUGAACCUGACCGACCAUUGAUAGUACAUGUUGGAUUUCUUGGAGUUGAAAAGAGCUUAAAUUUCCUCAAAGGUGUCAUGGAAAAGAUCCCGGAAGUAUGGUUAGCUUUUGUUGGUGAUCGUUCACACAGGCUUGAUUUGAUGGCAGAGUGACGUUGGUGGUGGGAUCUGAUGGCGGAUUUGAAAAUGGCAGUGAGUGCAAGAGGUAUGGUGGUGGUGAUGGAUUUGUUGUUGAUGAAGGUUGUAAGGGUGAUUAGAUGCGGUAGUAGUUAUGAUUAACGGUUGUGGUGGCGUGUGAGAUUUCCCUGCUAGGCUAGUAGGUGGUUGUGGUUGGAUUCAGAAAGGUAAUAGGCCGAUUGCAAACGGUAAAUAGGCUCAUUCCAAAAGGACAUUCGCUGAUGAAAUUAAGUCGUUUUUUUUUUUUCUUUUUGAACAAUAAAUUAGGCGUUUUAUAGACAUAAUAAUUUUGCUUAGACAUGUUUUUUCUUAUAUUGUUUAUAUUGGCUCUUCAAUAAAUAAUUUAUAUACCUAAUCUAUAAGGCUAUUAUAUGAGUUAA